RNAcentral lists this ribosomal RNA (158 nucleotides) under Irpex lacteus. Its description in RNAcentral is "5.8S ribosomal RNA". It matches the Rfam family "5.8S ribosomal RNA". From Rfam's summary of the family: 5.8S ribosomal RNA (5.8S rRNA) is a component of the large subunit of the eukaryotic ribosome. RNAcentral also lists the same sequence under 4 other names. The record is from RNAcentral. Lineage: Eukaryota; Fungi; Basidiomycota; Agaricomycetes; Polyporales; Irpicaceae.
CAACUUUCAGCAACGGAUCUCUUGGCUCUCGCAUCGAUGAAGAACGCAGCGAAAUGCGAUAAGUAAUGUGAAUUGCAGAAUUCAGUGAAUCAUCGAAUCUUUGAACGCACCUUGCACUCCUUGGUAUUCCGAGGAGUAUGCCUGUUUGAGUCUCAUGG